CGCACAGCUUGGCUUGAUGAGCAAUGUAUAUGUCCGCCCCCAGGAUCUGAACCCAUGAACCCCAGGCAGCCAAAGAGGAGCAUGUGAACUCAAUCACUAUGCUACCGGGCUGGCCCCUGAUAUGCGUCCAUUUUUAAUAAGGAAAAUUAAUUUUUUAUUAUUCAUGUUAUUAAGUUUUUUAAAAAGAUUCCACAAUUUCAGAAAGUUCUGAAAGCCCUGUCCUAGUUGAUGUGUCAUGUUGGAUGCAAAUACCAGAAAACCUAAUCUGAAGAAUACAGCUUGAACAGUAAGGGAGUUUCUUAUCCCGUAUAACAGGAUGGUCAGCAGAGGAGAGGGUCGAUUGAUUACAGAGUUCACCCGUGUCGUUGAGGACCCAGGUUCUUUCUAUUUCUUUGCUUCAACAAAUUUUGAAGAAAUUUACUUCAAAUUCUCUUUGCAUCCUUGGAGCUCAUUUAAUCCUCAGACUCAUGUUCUCUCUAAGGAGUAAAGAAACUUUCCCCAGGAGCUUCCCAGCAGACAACUCUUCACAUCUCAUUGGCACCUGCCCAUUCCUGAACCAACUAGAUUACUCUUAGCCCAAACAGACCACCCCUGGAGUUGAAAGUAGGGUCAGCUUCCCCCAGGGAUAUUGCUGUGUGGGAAAGUGUAGACACAUGAACCAAAUCUGGGUUCUCUUUGGAAGGAAAAGAAGGUGGGGUGGGGUUGAUGCUGAGAAGAUAACCAACAAUCUCCAGUAAAGUCCAACUUGGGUUGGCAGGGAUCAGUUCCUUUCAUCUAAUAGCUCCACAAUGCUCUUGAACCCUGAAGUUCCCUACUGGAUUCUCAGCAUUUGCCUAGUGAAAAAGAGAAGAGAAAAAAAGCCUGGAAGAUUGCAUGAGAGGCCUUAUGGACCAAGCCUUGGGGUGGUGAGCAUCACUUCUGACACACAUUCCAUCGGCCAGAACUCAGACACAUGGUCACAGCUAACUGCAAUGAAGUCUGGGAAAUGUAGUCUAGCUAAGUGUGUCCAGGAAGGAGAAGGAAAUCCAUUUGGUGGACAUCUGGCUAGUCUCUGACAUGCAAUGGAUUGAGUGAAACAUUUCUAUCAUGUUAAAAUUUCGGGGCCAGCCUUGUGGCCAAGUGGUUGAGUUUGUGCACUCGGCUUCCGUGGCCCAGGGUUUGGGCAAUUCAGAUCCUCGGCGCAGACAUAGCACCACUCAUCAAGCCAUGCUGAGGCGUUGUCACACAUAGCACAACCAGAAGGACCUACAACUAGAAUGUACA
RNAcentral lists this long non-coding RNA (1263 nucleotides) under Equus caballus (horse). RNAcentral's name for it is "lncRNA (ENSECAG00000044285.1)". Lineage: Eukaryota; Metazoa; Chordata; Mammalia; Perissodactyla; Equidae. The record is from RNAcentral.